This 2919-nucleotide ribosomal RNA is filed under the name Klebsiella pneumoniae. Its description in RNAcentral is "23S ribosomal RNA". It matches the Rfam family "Bacterial large subunit ribosomal RNA". Lineage: Bacteria; Pseudomonadati; Pseudomonadota; Gammaproteobacteria; Enterobacterales; Enterobacteriaceae. The record is from RNAcentral.
GGGUUGUGAGGUUAAGCGACUAAGCGUACACGGUGGAUGCCCUGGCAGUCAGAGGCGAUGAAGGACGUGCUAAUCUGCGAAAAGCGUCGGUAAGGUGAUAUGAACCGUUAUAACCGGCGAUGUCCGAAUGGGGAAACCCAGUGUGAUUCGUCACACUAUCGUUAACUGAAUACAUAGGUUAACGAGGCGAACCGGGGGAACUGAAACAUCUAAGUACCCCGAGGAAAAGAAAUCAACCGAGAUUCCCCCAGUAGCGGCGAGCGAACGGGGAGCAGCCCAGAGUCUGAAUCAGCUUGUGUGUUAGUGGAACGGUCUGGAAAGUCCGACGGUACAGGGUGAUAGUCCCGUACACCAAAAUGCACAGGUUGUGAACUCGAAGAGUAGGGCGGGACACGUGGUAUCCUGUCUGAAUAUGGGGGGACCAUCCUCCAAGGCUAAAUACUCCUGACUGACCGAUAGUGAACCAGUACCGUGAGGGAAAGGCGAAAAGAACCCCGGCGAGGGAGUGAAAAGAACCUGAAACCGUGUACGUACAAGCAGUGGGAGCACCUUCGGGUGUGACUGCGUACCUUUGUAUAAUGGGUCAGCGACUUAUAUUCUGUAGCAAGGUUAACCGUAUAGGGAGCCGCAGGGAAACCGAGUCUUAACUGGGCGUUAAGUUGCAGGGUAUAGACCCGAAACCCGGUGAUCUAGCCAUGGGCAGGUUGAAGGUUGGGUAACACUAACUGGAGGACCGAACCGACUAAUGUUGAAAAAUUAGCGGAUGACUUGUGGCUGGGGUGAAAGGCCAAUCAAACCGGGAGAUAGCUGGUUCUCCCCGAAAGCUAUUUAGGUAGCGCCUCGUGAACUCAUCUUCGGGGGUAGAGCACUGUUUCGGCUAGGGGGUCAUCCCGACUUACCAACCCGAUGCAAACUACGAAUACCGAAGAAUGUUAUCACGGGAGACACACGGCGGGUGCUAACGUCCGUCGUGAAGAGGGAAACAACCCAGACCGCCAGCUAAGGUCCCAAAGUCAUGGUUAAGUGGGAAACGAUGUGGGAAGGCACAGACAGCCAGGAUGUUGGCUUAGAAGCAGCCAUCAUUUAAAGAAAGCGUAAUAGCUCACUGGUCGAGUCGGCCUGCGCGGAAGAUGUAACGGGGCUAAACCAUGCACCGAAGCUGCGGCAGCGACACUAUGUGUUGUUGGGUAGGGGAGCGUUCUGUAAGCCUGCGAAGGUGACCUGUGAGGGUUGCUGGAGGUAUCAGAAGUGCGAAUGCUGACAUAAGUAACGAUAAAGCGGGUGAAAAGCCCGCUCGCCGGAAGACCAAGGGUUCCUGUCCAACGUUAAUCGGGGCAGGGUGAGUCGACCCCUAAGGCGAGGCCGAAAGGCGUAGUCGAUGGGAAACAGGUUAAUAUUCCUGUACUUGGUGUUACUGCGAAGGGGGGACGGAGAAGGCUAUGUUAGCCGGGCGACGGUUGUCCCGGUUUAAGCAUGUAGGCUGGUUAUCCAGGCAAAUCCGGAUAAUCAAGGCUGAGGUGUGAUGACGAGGCACUACGGUGCUGAAGUAACAAAUGCCCUGCUUCCAGGAAAAGCCUCUAAGCAUCAGGUAACAUCAAAUCGUACCCCAAACCGACACAGGUGGUCAGGUAGAGAAUACCAAGGCGCUUGAGAGAACUCGGGUGAAGGAACUAGGCAAAAUGGUGCCGUAACUUCGGGAGAAGGCACGCUGGUGUGUAGGUGAAGUCCCUGCGGAUGGAGCUGAGACCAGUCGAAGAUACCAGCUGGCUGCAACUGUUUAUUAAAAACACAGCACUGUGCAAACACGAAAGUGGACGUAUACGGUGUGACGCCUGCCCGGUGCCGGAAGGUUAAUUGAUGGGGUUAUCCGUAAGGAGAAGCUCUUGAUCGAAGCCCCGGUAAACGGCGGCCGUAACUAUAACGGUCCUAAGGUAGCGAAAUUCCUUGUCGGGUAAGUUCCGACCUGCACGAAUGGCGUAAUGAUGGCCAGGCUGUCUCCACCCGAGACUCAGUGAAAUUGAACUCGCUGUGAAGAUGCAGUGUACCCGCGGCAAGACGGAAAGACCCCGUGAACCUUUACUAUAGCUUGACACUGAACAUUGAGCCUUGAUGUGUAGGAUAGGUGGGAGGCUUUGAAGCGUGGACGCCAGUCUGCGUGGAGCCAACCUUGAAAUACCACCCUUUAAUGUUUGAUGUUCUAACGUUGGCCCCUGACCGGGGUUGCGGACAGUGUCUGGUGGGUAGUUUGACUGGGGCGGUCUCCUCCCAAAGCGUAACGGAGGAGCACGAAGGUUAGCUAAUCCUGGUCGGACAUCAGGAGGUUAGUGCAAUGGCAUAAGCUAGCUUGACUGCGAGCGUGACGGCGCGAGCAGGUGCGAAAGCAGGUCAUAGUGAUCCGGUGGUUCUGAAUGGAAGGGCCAUCGCUCAACGGAUAAAAGGUACUCCGGGGAUAACAGGCUGAUACCGCCCAAGAGUUCAUAUCGACGGCGGUGUUUGGCACCUCGAUGUCGGCUCAUCACAUCCUGGGGCUGAAGUAGGUCCCAAAGGGUAUGGCUGUUCGCCAUUUAAAGUGGUACGCGAGCUGGGUUUAGAACGUCGUGAGACAGUUCGGUCCCUAUCUGCCGUGGGCGCUGGAGAAUUGAGGGGGGCUGCUCCUAGUACGAGAGGACCGGAGUGGACGCAUCACUGGUGUUCGGGUUGUCAUGCCAAUGGCACUGCCCGGUAGCUAAAUGCGGAAGAGAUAAGUGCUGAAAGCAUCUAAGCACGAAACUUGCCCCGAGAUGAGUUCUCCCUGAGACUAUAAGUCUCCUGAAGGAACGUUGAAGACGACGACGUUGAUAGGCCGGGUGUGUAAGCGCAGCGAUGCGUUGAGCUAACCGGUACUAAUGAACCGUGAGGCUUAACCUUACAACGCCGAAG